UUGGGAGCUCACUGACUUCGGAGUCAUAGGAACUCCGAAGUUAAGCGAGUUGGGGGCUAGAGCAAUCCCACGAUGGGUGACCCAUUGGGAAGUUGCUCGUGAGCUCCUAGA
Prunus persica (peach) is the source of this 111-nucleotide non-coding RNA. Lineage: Eukaryota; Viridiplantae; Streptophyta; Magnoliopsida; Rosales; Rosaceae. The record is from Rfam.